GCACUGCUGAGGAGUCCCUAAAUAGGACGAAACGGCCGUUCAGUGC
RNAcentral lists this non-coding RNA (46 nucleotides) under Schistosoma mattheei. The record is from RNAcentral. Lineage: Eukaryota; Metazoa; Platyhelminthes; Trematoda; Strigeidida; Schistosomatidae.